UACGUAGGGUGCGAGCGUUGUCCGGAAUUACUGGGCGUAAAGAGCUCGUAGGUGGUUUGUCGCGUUGUUCGUGAAAUCUCACGGCUUAACUGUGAGCGUGCGGGCGAUACGGGCAGACUGGAGUACUGCAGGGGAGACCGGAAUUCCUGGUGUAGCGGUGGAAUGCGCAGAUAUCAGGAGGAACACCGGUGGCGAAGGCGGGUCUCUGGGCCGAUACUGACGCUGAGGAGCGAAAGCGUGGGGAGCGAACAGG
This 253-nucleotide ribosomal RNA is filed under the name uncultured bacterium. Its description in RNAcentral is "partial 16S ribosomal RNA". It matches the Rfam family "Bacterial small subunit ribosomal RNA", at positions 524 to 776 of the family's 1533-position model. The record is from RNAcentral.